UACGGAGGGUGCGAGCGUUGUCCGGAAUCACUGGGCGUAAAGGGCGCGUAGGUGGCGCGGGAAGUCAACGGUGAAAGUUCGGGGCUCAACCCUGAAUCGGCCGUCGAUACUCCCGGGCUUGAGCACUGUAGAGGCUAAUGGAAUUCCGGGUGUAGCGGUGGAAUGCGUAGAGAUCCGGAAGAACACCGGUGGCGAAGGCGGUUAGCUGGGCAGUUGCUGACACUGAGGCGCGACAGCGUGGGGAGCAAACAGG
RNAcentral lists this ribosomal RNA (253 nucleotides) under uncultured bacterium. RNAcentral describes it as "partial 16S ribosomal RNA". It matches the Rfam family "Bacterial small subunit ribosomal RNA", at positions 524 to 776 of the family's 1533-position model. The record is from RNAcentral.